RNAcentral lists this ribosomal RNA (505 nucleotides) under uncultured bacterium. Its description in RNAcentral is "partial 16S ribosomal RNA". It matches the Rfam family "Bacterial small subunit ribosomal RNA", at positions 28 to 507 of the family's 1533-position model. The record is from RNAcentral.
GACGAACGCUGGCGGCGUGCCUAAUACAUGCAAGUAGAACGCACAGUUUAUACCGUAGCUUGCUACACCAUACACUGUGAGUUGCGAACGGGUGAGUAACGCGUAGGUAACCUGCCUGGUAGCGGGGGAUAACUAUUGGAAACGAUAGCUAAUACCGCAUAAUAUUGAUUAUUGCAUGAUAAUUGAUUGAAAGAUGCUAUUGCAUCACUACCAGAUGGACCUGCGUUGUAUUAGCUAGUAGGUGAGGUAACGGCUCACCUAGGCGACGAUACAUAGCCGACCUGAGAGGGUGAUCGGCCACACUGGGACUGAGACAUGGCCCAGACUCCUACGGGAGGCAGCAGUAGGGAAUCUUCGGCAAUGGACGAAAGUCUGACCGAGCAACGCCGCGUGAGUGAAGAAGGUUGUCGGAUCGUAAAGCUCUGUUGUAAGAGAAGAACGGGUGUGAGAGUGGAAAGUUCACACUGUGACGGUAUCUUACCAGAAAGGGACGGCUAACUACGUG